GCGGAACACGUACAGAACCUUCCUUUAAGCGGGGAUAGCCCGGAGAAAUCCGGAUUAAUACCCCAUAGUAUUAUUAAGUGGCAUCAUUUAAUAAUUAAAGAUUUAUCACUUAGAGAUGGCUGUGCGGCUGAUUAGGUAGUUGGUUGGGGUAACGGCUCACCAAGCCUUCGAUCAGUAACUGGUGUGAGAGCACGACCAGUCACACGGGCACUGAGACACGGGCCCG
RNAcentral lists this ribosomal RNA (226 nucleotides) under uncultured bacterium. RNAcentral describes it as "partial 16S ribosomal RNA". It matches the Rfam family "Bacterial small subunit ribosomal RNA", at positions 108 to 334 of the family's 1533-position model. The record is from RNAcentral.